AUUGAACGCUGGCGGCAGGCCUAACACAUGCAAGUCGAGCGGUAGAGAGAAGCUUGCUUCUCUUGAGAGCGGCGGACGGGUGAGUAAUGCCUAGGAAUCUGCCUGGUAGUGGGGGAUAACGUUCGGAAACGGACGCUAAUACCGCAUACGUCCUACGGGAGAAAGCAGGGGACCUUCGGGCCUUGCGCUAUCAGAUGAGCCUAGGUCGGAUUAGCUAGUUGGUGGGGUAAUGGCUCACCAAGGCGACGAUCCGUAACUGGUCUGAGAGGAUGAUCAGUCACACUGGAACUGGGACACGGUCCAGACUCCUACGGGAGGCGGCAGUGGGGAAUAUUGGACAAUGGGCGAAAGCCUGAUCCAGCCAUGCCGCGUGUGUGAAGAAGGUCUUCGGAUUGUAAAGCACUUUAGGUUGGGAGGAAGGGCAGUAAAUUAAUACUUUGCUGUUUUGACGUUACCGACAGAAUGAGCACCGGCUAACUCUGUGCCAGCAGCCGCCGUAA
Molecule: ribosomal RNA, 500 nt
Filed under: uncultured bacterium
Lineage: Bacteria
Description: partial 16S ribosomal RNA
Rfam family: Bacterial small subunit ribosomal RNA
Source: RNAcentral